This 495-nucleotide ribosomal RNA is filed under the name uncultured bacterium. RNAcentral's name for it is "partial 16S ribosomal RNA". It matches the Rfam family "Bacterial small subunit ribosomal RNA", at positions 28 to 507 of the family's 1533-position model. The record is from RNAcentral.
GACGAACGCUGGCGGCGUGCCUAAUACAUGCAAGUAGAACGCUGAAGGAGGAGCUUGCUUCUCUGGAUGAGUUGCGAACGGGUGAGUAACGCGUAGGUAACCUGCCUGGUAGCGGGGGAUAACUAUUGGAAACGAUAGCUAAUACCGCAUAAUAGUAGAUGUUGCAUGACAUUUGCCUAAAAGGUGCAAUUGCAUCACUACCAGAUGGACCUGCGUUGUAUUAGCUAGUUGGUGGGGUAACGGCUCACCAAGGCGACGAUACAUAGCCGACCUGAGAGGGUGAUCGGCCACACUGGGACUGAGACACGGCCCAGACGCCUACGGGAGGCAGCAGUAGGGAAUCUUCGGCAAUGGACGGAAGUCUGACCGAGCAACGCCGCGUGAGUGAAGAAGGUUUUCGGAUCGUAAAGCUCGGUUGUAAGAGAAGAACGAGUGUGAGAGUGGAAAGUUCACACUGUGACGGUAUCUUACCAGAAAGGGACGGCUAACUACGUG